GACGAACGCUGGCGGCGUGCUUAACACAUGCAAGUCGAACGAUGAACCCGGAGCUUGCUCCGGCGGAUUAGUGGCGAACGGGUGAGUAACACGUGAGUAACCUGCCCUUGACUCUGGGAUAACUGCUAGAAAUGGUAGCUAAUACCGGAUACGACCCUCGGUGGCAUCACCAGGGGGUGGAAAGAAUUUCGGUCAAGGAUGGACUCGCGGCCUAUCAGCUAGUUGGUGAGGUAACGGCUCACCAAGGCGACGGCGGGUAGCCGGCCUGAGAGGGUGACCGGCCACACUGGGACUGAGACACGGCCCAGACUCCUACGGGAGGCAGCAGUAAAGAAUCUUCCGCAAUGGACGAAAGUCUGACGGAGCGACGCCGCGUGCAGGAUGAAGGCCUUCGGGUUGUAAACUGCUUUUCUGAAAGAAUAAUUCUGAAGGUAUUUCAGGAAUAAGUACCGGCAAAUCUCGUGCCAGCCGCCGCGGUAA
RNAcentral lists this ribosomal RNA (480 nucleotides) under uncultured bacterium. Its description in RNAcentral is "partial 16S ribosomal RNA". It matches the Rfam family "Bacterial small subunit ribosomal RNA", at positions 28 to 523 of the family's 1533-position model. The record is from RNAcentral.